AUUGAACGCUGGCGGCAGGCCUAACACAUGCAAGUCGAGCGAGCGGCGGACGGGUGAGUAAUGUAUGGGGCCUGCCCGAUAGAGGGGGAUAACUACUGGGAACGGUGACUAAUACCGCAUACUAUCGACUAACCCAUAUGGGAUUAGCUAGUAGGUGGGGUAAAGGCUCACCUAGGAGCCGAUCUCUAUCUGGUCUGAGAGGAUGAUAAGUCACACUGGUACUGAGACACGGUACAGACUCCUACGGAGGUAGCAGUGGAGAAUAUUGCACAAUGCGCGCAAGCCUGAUUCAGCCAUGCCGCGUGUAUGAAGAAGGCCUUAGGGUUGUAAAGUACUUUCAGCGGGGAGGCGUUACCCGCAGAAGAAGCACCGGAUAACUCCGUGCCAGCAGCCGCGGUAAUAC
RNAcentral lists this ribosomal RNA (403 nucleotides) under uncultured bacterium. RNAcentral describes it as "partial 16S ribosomal RNA". It matches the Rfam family "Bacterial small subunit ribosomal RNA", at positions 30 to 526 of the family's 1533-position model. The record is from RNAcentral.